CACACGACUCUCGGCAACGGAUAUCUCGGCUCUCGCAUCGAUGAAGAACGUAGCGAAAUGCGAUACCUGGUGUGAAUUGCAGAAUCCCGCGAACCAUCGAGUCUUUGAACGCAAGUUGCGCCCGAGGCCACUUGGCCGAGGGCACGCCUGCCUGGGCGUCACG
This 163-nucleotide ribosomal RNA is filed under the name Dactylis glomerata (orchard grass). Its description in RNAcentral is "5.8S ribosomal RNA". It matches the Rfam family "5.8S ribosomal RNA". Rfam says of the family: 5.8S ribosomal RNA (5.8S rRNA) is a component of the large subunit of the eukaryotic ribosome. It is transcribed by RNA polymerase I as part of the 45S precursor that also contains 18S and 28S rRNA. Functionally, it is thought that 5.8S rRNA may be involved in ribosome translocation. The record is from RNAcentral. Lineage: Eukaryota; Viridiplantae; Streptophyta; Magnoliopsida; Poales; Poaceae. RNAcentral also lists the same sequence under 6 other names.